Molecule: long non-coding RNA, 2291 nt
Filed under: Danio rerio (zebrafish)
Lineage: Eukaryota; Metazoa; Chordata; Actinopteri; Cypriniformes; Danionidae
Description: lncRNA si:ch211-202n12.5 (ENSDARG00000079925.5)
Source: RNAcentral
GCAAACAGCAGAUCCGGCCCGUCCUGAGUCCCCAACGGCCCUGACAGGUCAUGUUGAUACUGAGCUGGUGUGUCUACCAGGCCAGGUCUGGGAAGAUCCUCAGCCAAUCAGUGUCCAUGGCCUCACCAAUAUUAAGAACAUGACGGAUGCAGAUUCGGCCUGUCCUGAGUCGCCUUCGUCUGUUCAACACACCUCUAAAAUGGAUGGGACUGAUGAAAAACCCAAGAAAGGAAGGAAAGGGAAAAGAGUCUCUGCUUUCUUCAAGAGAGUAUGGAAGGCUGCAACGCGCCCUUUCCUGUGCUGUGACACAGAUAUAGUCCAGCAAUUUACACCACGACCUGAGCCAGAGCCGGAGUCCGAGCCAGAGUCCGAUUUUGAGUCCGAAAUCCGCUGACCCUGAGUCAGUAUGUCUGCCAGGCCCGGCUCCUAAAGAGCCUAAAGAGGCUUCUGGACCCACUCGUAGAUUUGAUCUGUCUGAUUUUGAAGUAGACAACAUGAUUGGAGAAGGAGCUUUUGGCAAGGUGUUUGUGGCAUCUCACAAACUUCGUAAAAGUGAAAAGGUUGCCCUGAAGUUUAUGAACAAGCUUAAACAGGACCAAUAUCUCAACAUUGAUGGUCAUUCCACACCUGUGCUUGCGGAAGUGGCAAUGAUGCUAAGGUUGAUGAAUGCUCCGCAAUGUCCAAACAUCAUCGGAUUACACGACUGGAUUGAGAAUGAGAGCAGCUUCCUUCUCAUCUUGGAGUACCCAGAGCAAAGCCGGACUUUGGCUGAUUACAUCACAUUGACAUUGCGAAUUAGUGAAAAGCGAGCACGCCGGUUAAUUCGUCAGUUGAUCCAAGCUGUAAAGUUCUGCACUGAGCGUGGAGUUUUCCAUGGUGAUAUACACACAGAGAACAUCCUGGUGACGAAACCCCGAUUACAGCUCAAAUUGAUCGACUUUGGUUGUGCUCAGCCAAUUACCAGCGAGCCUUUCAGCAGCGAUAAUUAUCGAGGAGCCAGUGGUAUCACGCCACCUGAGGUUUUCAGUGAUCCCACAUUCUAUGCUGACCCGGCAAACAUUUGGGAAAUAGGCAACGUGCUGUAUGAAAUAUUGCAUGCAGAAUUGCCCUUUUCUGACAAAGAUUCAAUAAUGUUUGCAUCCCUUGAGACACACCCCAGGUUAUCUACAGCAUGCCAGAACCUGCUUUCCCAGUGUUUGGCCCGAUGUCCACAUCAGCGCCUGCAGUUACAUCAGUUAGAAAAGCACCGGUGGUUCAAUCCAAAGGCCCCAAAUCCUGCGCAGCAGUUAGCCAAAAGGAGAAAACACUAAAGAAGCGAGAAAGAGGAGAGCAGCAUUUCCAGAAAUUUCACAAGACUAUUAAAGUUAUUAAUUACUCCCUCAUGUCAUUCCAAACCCCUAAGACCUUAAUUUUCUUCAGUGUCAGUUCAUGACGUGUGUUGAUGAGAGCUCUGUCCUGCACUGUAUGUGUGCCCACGCUUUGUUUAAAUGAGAGGAAGUCGCGCAGGCCUCUGGGUUAAACGUCAGCAGUGCGACACACAUACAGUGCACUGGUCUCUUCUGAACAUGCGGUUUGAGGGUCAGAGAGCUCUCAGAUUUCAUCUCAAAUGUUUUAAUUUCUGUUCUCAAUAUGAACUAAACAUGAAUAUGAACUAAGGACAUGAGCUGAGUAAUUAAUGACAAUAAUGGUAAUGAAUGGUGCCUAGACCGCAGCUCUGCACAAGACCUUUGGCCACAGGAGAAAUGGUCGUGCCCAACCGAGACUGGUUUCUCUCGAGGUUUUUUUCCUUCACUUUUGUCAAAUGGUGAAGUUUUGUUCCUCGCCACUGUCGCCGCUGGCUUGCUUGGUUGGGACUUGUGGAGCUGCGCAUCGAUGGAUUUGCUCUUCAGUGUUUGGACUUUCAGCAGUGACAAUUAAACUACACUGAACUGAACUGAACUUCAACUGUGAAAACUGGACUGACACAGUUUUAAUUUACUUCUAUGUUAAGCUGCUUUGACACAAUCUACAUUGUAAAAGCGCUAUAGAAAUGAAGAUGAAUUGAACUGAAUUAAUGAUGAAACUCCAUCAGGAAAUCCAGUGCUGUCAGUUUUCUCCUCUAAAGUGUCAUCAAAGAUCUGCUCAACUAUUUUCUACCUCAUAAAUGAAUCUGGUGUUCUGUCAUAAGAGAGACUGAUUGUUUUAUAAUUAAGUGUUCAUGAUUGUUUUGUAAUGAAUUGUUCUUUGAAUUGUUUUGUGAUGAAUUGCUUUUAUAUAUUGUUAAUAAUUCCAAUAAAAUCCUGUGAAUCAAA